GCCGGGUAUGGUGGCGCAUGCCUGUAGUCCCAGCUACUCAGGAGGCUGAGGCAGGAGAAUCGCUUGAAUCCAGGAGGUGGAGGUUGCAGUGAGCCGAGAUUGUGUCACUGCACUCCAGCCUGGGUGACAGAGUGAGACUCUGUCUCAA
Molecule: non-coding RNA, 148 nt
Organism: Pan troglodytes (chimpanzee)
Lineage: Eukaryota; Metazoa; Chordata; Mammalia; Primates; Hominidae
Rfam family: Metazoan signal recognition particle RNA
About the family: The signal recognition particle (SRP) is a universally conserved ribonucleoprotein. It is involved in the co-translational targeting of proteins to membranes. The eukaryotic SRP consists of a 300-nucleotide 7S RNA and six proteins: SRPs 72, 68, 54, 19, 14, and 9.
Source: Rfam